Molecule: transfer RNA, 70 nt
Filed under: Heliconius melpomene (postman butterfly)
Lineage: Eukaryota; Metazoa; Arthropoda; Insecta; Lepidoptera; Nymphalidae
Description: tRNA HMEL008061
Rfam family: tRNA
About the family: Transfer RNA (tRNA) molecules are approximately 80 nucleotides in length. Their secondary structure includes four short double-helical elements and three loops (D, anti-codon, and T loops).
Source: RNAcentral
GAACAUAUGGCUUAGUGGUCAGAGCGCUUGGACGAAUAGCAAGAGGGGGGUUCAAAUCCCGCUACGUUUA